CCUACGGGAGGCAGCAGUGAGGAAUAUUGGUCAAUGGACGAGAGUCUGAACCAGCCAAGUAGCGUGAAGGAUGACUGCCCUAUGGGUUGUAAACUUCUUUUAUAUGGGAAUAAAAUGUUCCACGUGUGGGAUUUUGUAUGUACCAUAUGAAUAAGGAUCGGCUAACUCCGUGCCAGCAGCCGCGGUAAUACGGAGGAUCCGAGCGUUAUCCGGAUUUAUUGGGUUUAAAGGGAGCGUAGGUGGAUUGUUAAGUCAGUUGUGAAAGUUUGCGGCUCAACCGUAAAAUUGCAGUUGAAACUGGCAGUCUUGAGUACAAUAGAGGUGGGCGGAAUUCGUGGUGUAGCGGUGAAAUGCUUAGAUAUCACGAAGAACUCCGAUUGCGAAGGCAGUUCACUGGACUGCAACUGACACUGAGGCUCGAAAGUGUGGGUAUCAAACAGGAUUAGAUACCCCUGUAGUC
RNAcentral lists this ribosomal RNA (460 nucleotides) under uncultured bacterium. RNAcentral's name for it is "partial 16S ribosomal RNA". It matches the Rfam family "Bacterial small subunit ribosomal RNA", at positions 338 to 795 of the family's 1533-position model. The record is from RNAcentral.